Long non-coding RNA from Perognathus longimembris pacificus (Pacific pocket mouse), 465 nucleotides. RefSeq lists it as uncharacterized. The transcript has 3 exons. The record is from RefSeq and is a predicted model, not a curated record. Lineage: Eukaryota; Metazoa; Chordata; Mammalia; Rodentia; Heteromyidae.
GGAAGCAGGGGAGGAGAAGCUCACAGGCUCCCGUGGCAGGCAUUGGGAGCGUCAGGAGAAGGCUUCUGUCUAUGGAGUUCCAGGACCAGUUUGACCUUAGCAGGGGAAGGCUUGAGAGAGGGGCAGAAGGCACAGCCUGAGGCAUGGAGGCUAUGGAGUCUUUUUAGGUGCCAGUGAGCAUGUGGAUGGGGUGGAGCAUGUACAGGGCCCCUCUGCUGUGGGGGUGGUCUGGGGAUUGGGACUGGGAACCAGGGAAGGGCAGUCAGGCCCUAAUGGCCUCCAGUGGCUCCAUUCCUAGCACAGUGUGAGGUGUCAGGAAAUCAAUCAGCUGUGACCACCUGAUUCUCCUGAUCUGACUGAGUCUGCUGAGUGAGUGACUGACCCCUGAAAAUAGCCUGUCACCGUCCUAGCGGUCCUGGGGCCUCGGGCCAGCCUUAUUAGCAUCUGGCAGCUCCUGCUUACAUG